Molecule: non-coding RNA, 72 nt
Organism: Trichophaea hybrida
Lineage: Eukaryota; Fungi; Ascomycota; Pezizomycetes; Pezizales; Pyronemataceae
Source: the annotation of a GenBank genome assembly
GGGCCGGUGACGCAAUGGUACCGCAUUCUUCUGGUAUAGAAAAGGCUCUAGGUUUGACUCCUAGGCAGUUCC